AGCAUGUAUAUCACAAAUCACUAUGAAAUGGAGAAGGAGCUUCAAUAUAUCUAUGAGAUAGGAUACCAGCAUGGGUAUAGUAGAUGCUUUUUGGAAGCCAUUUAUCAUAGAACUCUGCAACCCCCCUCCGGCCAAUGUAAUGAUGGACCAAAGAACCAAAGUUACAUGCCAGUCUCUUUCACAAUGAAAAAUACAAUACUACUAAAAAAUUAGUGAAAAAAAUCAAUAGAAGAUUAACUUAUAGAAGGCAACCAACAGUUUUUAGCCAGCUAAGAAAUGAAAAGGAUCUUAGAUAACAACAAGAGCUUUGAGCCAAAGAUUACAGGAACAUAAAAGGGACAUCUCCAAUGGGAAAUUAAAUAUGGUCUUGGCAAUAUGUGCAUAUGAAGACAACUUGGAAGUGAAUUGGAAGAAUGCU
This 418-nucleotide long non-coding RNA is filed under the name Androctonus crassicauda. Lineage: Eukaryota; Metazoa; Arthropoda; Arachnida; Scorpiones; Buthidae. The record is from RNAcentral.